This 228-nucleotide long non-coding RNA is filed under the name Carica papaya (papaya). RNAcentral's name for it is "long non-coding RNA (CPAP_LNC004838)". The record is from RNAcentral. Lineage: Eukaryota; Viridiplantae; Streptophyta; Magnoliopsida; Brassicales; Caricaceae.
CAUAUUAGCCUAAAAUACCUAAAAGACCUAUUAGAAUGUUUCAGAACCUAAAACAAAAGCUGCUACAAAAUAAAUAAUUAACCUCAAUUCAAGUCAAGCAAUACAAAAUAAGGUAAUAUCUUAGCCAUCCUUUCACUAUUCAGGAUCGGGUCUUGAUCGUCUCGAUAUGAAAUUAUUAAUAAAAAUAGAUUAACCUGCACUUACUCAUUAAGAAUACCAAAAACCCUA